Molecule: ribosomal RNA, 468 nt
Filed under: uncultured bacterium
Lineage: Bacteria
Description: partial 16S ribosomal RNA
Rfam family: Bacterial small subunit ribosomal RNA
Source: RNAcentral
GACGAACGCUGGCGGCGUGCUUAACACAUGCAAGUCGAACGGAAAGGCCCUGCUUUUGUGGGGUGCUCGAGUGGCGAACGGGUGAGUAACACGUGAGUAACCUGCCCUUGACUUUGGGAUAACUUCAGGAAACUGGGGCUAAUACCGGAUAGCAGCUCCUGCUGCAUGGUGGGGGUUGGAAAGUUUCGGCGGUUGGGGAUGGACUCGCGGCUUAUCAGCUUGUUGGUGGGGUAGUGGCUUACCAAGGCUUUGACGGGUAGCCGGCCUGAGAGGGUGACCGGCCACAUUGGGACUGAGAUACGGCCCAGACUCCUAUGGGAGGCAGCAGUGGGGAAUAUUGCACAAUGGGCGGAAGCCUGAUGCAGCAACGCCGCGUGCGGGAUGACGGCCUUCGGGUUGUAAACCGCUUUCGCCUGUGACGAAGCGUGAGUGACGGUAAUGGGUAAAGAAGCACCGGCUAACUACGUG